This 883-nucleotide ribosomal RNA is filed under the name uncultured bacterium. RNAcentral's name for it is "bacterial SSU rRNA". It matches the Rfam family "Bacterial small subunit ribosomal RNA", at positions 1 to 924 of the family's 1533-position model. The record is from RNAcentral.
GCCCUUAGAGUUUGAUCCUGGCUCAGGAUGAACGCUGGCGGUAUGCUUUACACAUGCAAGUCGUACGAGAGUUUUUAACUCAAGUGGCGGACGGGUGAGUAACACGUAAGAAUUUGCCUUUAGGAGGGGGACAACAACUGGAAACGGUUGCUAAUACCCCAUAUGCUUUCGAGUAAAAUGGAUUUUCCGCCUAAAGAGAAGCUUGCGGCUGAUUAGCUUGUUGGUGAGGUAAUGGCUCACCAAGGCGACGAUCAGUAUCUGGUUUGAGAGGACGAUCAGACACACUGGAACUGAGACACGGUCCAGACUCCUACGGGAGGCAGCAGUGGGGAAUUUUCCGCAAUGGGCGAAAGCCUGACGGAGCAAUACCGCGUGAGGGAUGACGGCCUAUGGGUUGUAAACCUCUUUUUUCAGGGAGGAAUCAAUGACGUGUACCUGAAGAAUAAGCAUCGGCUAACUCCGUGCCAGCAGCCGCGGUAAGACGGAGGAUGCAAGUGUUAUCCGGAAUCACUGGGCCGUAAAGCGUCUGUAGGUGGUCAAAUAAGUCAACUGUUAAAUCUUGAGGCUCAACCUCAAAAUCGCAGUCGAAACUAUUCGACUAGAGUAUAGUAGGGGUAAAGGGAAUUUCCAGUGGAGCGGUGAAAUGCGUAGAGAUUGGAAAGAACACCGAUGGCGAAGGCACUUUACUGGGCUAUUACUAACACUGAGAGACGAAAGCUAGGGUAGCAAAUGGGAUUAGAUACCCCAGUAGUCCUAGCCGUAAACAAUGGAUACUAGAUGUUGAACAGAUCGACCUGUGCAGUAUCAAAGCUAACGCGUUAAGUAUCCCGCCUGGGAAGUAUGCUCGCAAGAGUGAAACUCAAAUGAAUUGACGGGGAAGGGC